RNAcentral lists this non-coding RNA (25 nucleotides) under Callithrix jacchus (white-tufted-ear marmoset). Lineage: Eukaryota; Metazoa; Chordata; Mammalia; Primates; Cebidae. RNAcentral also lists the same sequence under 2 other names. The record is from RNAcentral.
CGCAUCGACCUGGUAUUGCAGUACU